Molecule: ribosomal RNA, 253 nt
Filed under: uncultured bacterium
Lineage: Bacteria
Description: partial 16S ribosomal RNA
Rfam family: Bacterial small subunit ribosomal RNA
Source: RNAcentral
UACAGAGGUCUCAAGCGUUGUUCGGAUUCAUUGGGCGUAAAGGGUGCGUAGGUGGCGGGGUAAGUCAGGUGUGAAAUCCCGGGGCUCAACCCCGGAACUGCAUUGGAUACUGCCUUGCUUGAGUACUGGAGAGGGAACUGGAAUUUACGGUGUAGCAGUGAAAUGCGUAGAGAUCGUAAGGAAGGCCAGUGGCGAAGGCGAGUUCCUGGACAGUUACUGACGCUGAGGCACGAAGGCCAGGGGAGCAAACGGG